Molecule: small RNA, 86 nt
Filed under: Escherichia coli
Lineage: Bacteria; Pseudomonadati; Pseudomonadota; Gammaproteobacteria; Enterobacterales; Enterobacteriaceae
Description: partial RtT sRNA
Rfam family: RtT RNA
About the family: This family represents a bacterial cis-regulatory element known as RtT RNA. The exact function of RtT is unknown although it is thought that it may be involved in changing the cellular response in relation to amino acid starvation.
Source: RNAcentral
AUUCUGCCCAUGCGGGGAAGGAUGAGAAGCUUCGACCAAGGUUCGACUCGAGCGCCAGCGAGAGAGCGUGGCCGCAGGCAACGACC